GACGGAGGAUGCAAGCGUUAUCCGGAAUGAUUGGGCGUAAAGCGUCCGCAGGUGGCAGUUCAAGUCUGCUGUCAAAGACCGGGGCUUAACUUCGAAAAGGCAGUGGAAACUGAACAGCUAGAGUAUGGUAGGGGCAGAGGGAAUUCCUGGUGUAGCGGUGAAAUGCGUAGAUAUCAGGAAGAACAUCGGUGGCGAAGGCGCUCUGCUGGACCAUAACUGACACUCAGGGACGAAAGCUAGGGGAGCGAAUGGG
Molecule: ribosomal RNA, 253 nt
Filed under: uncultured bacterium
Lineage: Bacteria
Description: partial 16S ribosomal RNA
Rfam family: Bacterial small subunit ribosomal RNA
Source: RNAcentral